UUGAUUACUAAUGGGUAAAUUUGUUCUGGAGUAAAGCUCCUGCAAACUUCUAGUUGUCCUCAGUGUAAUCAUCCAAGUUGAGCUCAGUCCCCAGUGAACACAUUGUGACAAUCUGUGUGGAAGAUUGUCUAACUGUUGUCUAUGAGGGAAACACUUUAGUGACUCCAUACUCGGAGGGUGUGGGUUGGGGCUGAUUCUAGGCACUUCUUUAAGGAUGGAACAAUUGACUUUCAGAAGGAAACAGGAGAUCAGUAAAUACCAUGUUGUCUAUAUUAAGUGUGUAGGCCCAGUGAGCCACUGUGGUUGGCAGGAUCUCUCAAAUGCUGAGUUUUGUGGUCCCAGCAAUUUCCUACUCAGUCAGCUUUCUUUUCUAAGGGUAAAUAAUAUGGAGAAUGCUAAUAUUAGCUCUCUACUGCACAGGAUGUUGGUAGGAUGGUGAUAGAGAUGCAAUCAACAAAUAAGUUAAGGGUGACCCGAGAGCCCCUCUUACUUCCUGUGAACUCACCAAAAGUGAGUUCACCAAAGGAAGGGUGUACAAUACUCUCUGUUUACCUUGUGUGUGGGGCCCAAUUCUAGUGUUAGAGUGGCUGUGAGGACUUAAGUACACUAAAGAUUUCAUGGACAAAAUCGUGGAAUUAAUCGGGAGGCCAGGGAAUCGUGAACAUCAUGCAUGGUGAGUAUAGAUUUCUCACACUGUCAAUCUCUCCUGGCCUCCACUACACAUUUGUGGGAUAUUUUAGAUCUCAGUGACCUUUGAGGAUGUGGCCGUGAACUUCACCCAGGAGGAGUGGACUUUGCUGGAUGCUUCCCAGAAGAACCUUUACAGAGGUGUGAUGCUGGAAGUCUUCAGAAACCUGGCUUCUAUAGGAAAGAGAUGGGAUGACAAGAACAUUGAAGAUCAGAUCAAUAAUUCUGGGAGUAAUCUAAGGCACUUCAGAUCUCACUGUGGGCAUGAAUGCUAUAAACAUGAAGAGUGUGAAGAGAAGCCAUGUGAAUUGAAACAAUACAGAAAAUCUCUGGUUUCUCUCAAAAGUGUUCACACACAAAUGUUAACACAAACUGGAGAUGGACCAUAUGAAAGUACAGUAUGUGGAAGAGUCAUCAGUUGUUCCAGUGACAUUCAAAGACAUGAAGAUUCUCAUACUGAGUGCCAACCCUAUGAAUGUCAACAAUGUGGUGAAGCCUUUUCUUCUCUCCCAGCUGUUCAAAGACACAUGAGAACACACAGUGGAGGUAAACCUUUUCAAUGUGAGGUAUGUGGGAAAGCCUUUCAUUCCCCCACUUUAUUUAGAAAACAUGAAAGAACUCAUUCUGGAGAGAAACUCCAUAAAUGUAAACAAGGAGGUAAAACUUUGGUUUCAUUCACAAGUCUUCGAUGUCACAUGAUCAGGCACACUGGGAAAGCACAUUUCAAAUGUAAGGUAUGUGGAAAAGACUUUGCUUAUCCCAGUUUACUUAGAAUACAUCAGAGAACACAUACUAGAGAGAAACCCUAUGAAUGUCCACAAUGUGGGAAAGCCUUCAGUACUUCAUCUUACCUCCAGAUACACGAAUGGACUCAUACAGGAGAGAAGCCCUAUGAGUAUAAGCGGUGUGGAAAAGCCUUCACUCAGUCUGCUCACCUUCACUCUCAUGAGCAAACUCAUACUGGAGAGAAGCCCUAUAAAUGUCAACAAUGU
Non-coding RNA from Marmota flaviventris (yellow-bellied marmot), 1679 nucleotides. The record is from RefSeq and is a predicted model, not a curated record. NCBI's taxonomy places the organism in Eukaryota, Metazoa, Chordata, Mammalia, Rodentia, Sciuridae.